This is a non-coding RNA of Pteropus alecto (black flying fox), 119 nucleotides long. The record is from Rfam. NCBI's taxonomy places the organism in Eukaryota, Metazoa, Chordata, Mammalia, Chiroptera, Pteropodidae.
GUCUACUGCCAUGCCACCCUGAACAAGGCUGAUCCUGUCUGAUCUUGGAAGCUAAGCAGGGUCCGGCCUGUUUAGUACUAGGAUGGGAGACCACCUAGGGAGACCAGGUGCUGUAGGCA